This 301-nucleotide ribosomal RNA is filed under the name uncultured bacterium. Its description in RNAcentral is "partial 16S ribosomal RNA". It matches the Rfam family "Bacterial small subunit ribosomal RNA", at positions 509 to 807 of the family's 1533-position model. The record is from RNAcentral.
CAGCCGCCACGGUAAUACGUAGGGUGCAAGCGUUAAUCGGAAUUACUGGGCGUAAAGCGUGCGCAGGCGGUUAUAUAAGUCAGAUGUGAAAUCCCCGGGCUCAACCUGGGAACUGCGUUUGAGACUGUAUGGCUAGAGUGUGUCAGAGGGGGGUAGAAUUCCACGUGUAGCAGUGAAAUGCGUAGAUAUGUGGAGGAAUACCGAUGGCGAAGGCAGCCCCCUGGGAUAACACUGACGCUCAUGCACGAAAGCGUGGGGAGCAAACAGGAUUAGAUACCCCCGUAGUCCCUGUCUCUUAUAC